Molecule: transfer RNA, 64 nt
Filed under: Eledone cirrhosa (curled octopus)
Lineage: Eukaryota; Metazoa; Mollusca; Cephalopoda; Octopoda; Eledonidae
Description: tRNA-Cys
Source: RNAcentral
GGUUUUAUAAUUUAUAUUAAAAUAUUAAAUUGCAAAUUUAAAAAUACAUUUUUUGUUGAAACUU